ACAUAUUAUGGGUCUCAGACGGAC
RNAcentral lists this microRNA (24 nucleotides) under Glycine max (soybean). RNAcentral describes it as "gma-miR4402". The record is from miRBase by way of RNAcentral. Lineage: Eukaryota; Viridiplantae; Streptophyta; Magnoliopsida; Fabales; Fabaceae.